Molecule: ribosomal RNA, 253 nt
Filed under: uncultured bacterium
Lineage: Bacteria
Description: partial 16S ribosomal RNA
Rfam family: Bacterial small subunit ribosomal RNA
Source: RNAcentral
UACGUAGGAUGCAAGCGUUGUCCGGAUUUAUUGGGCGUAAAGCGAACGUAGGCGGCUUCUUAAGUUUGGUCUUAAAGACCGGGGCUCAACCCCGGGAAUGGACUGAAUACUGGGAGGCUAGAGGAUGUCAGAGGAAAGUGGAAUUCCUAGUGUAGCGGUGAAAUGCGUAGAUAUUAGGAGGAACACCAGUGGCGAAAGCGACUUUCUGGGACAUUUCUGACGCUGAGGUUCGAAAGCUCGGGGAGCAAACAGG